Molecule: non-coding RNA, 153 nt
Filed under: Youngiibacter fragilis 232.1
Lineage: Bacteria; Bacillati; Bacillota; Clostridia; Eubacteriales; Clostridiaceae
Also listed under: 1 other name
Description: Clostridium sp. 232.1 glmS glucosamine-6-phosphate activated ribozyme aptamer
Rfam family: glmS glucosamine-6-phosphate activated ribozyme aptamer
About the family: This entry contains a glucosamine-6-phosphate activated ribozyme that is found in the mRNA for GlmS. GlmS is an enzyme that uses fructose-6-phosphate and glutamine to generate glucosamine-6-phosphate.
Source: Rfam by way of RNAcentral
CCAGAUGGAAUAGCGCCAGAACCGGCUGACUUAAGCCGGUUGACGAGGAUGGAGUAAUCGAAAGUUCGGCGGAUGCUCCACGGUAUGCACUACCGAAAAAGCUCCCUCAAAUACCGGAGGCGACUUCGGGGACAAAGGGGAUCAGGUGCCCAG